GUCCUUUUCAGUUUUUGGCUUUGUUCAUGCAGGCACCUUCUUCACAUGGCAUUUUCUCCCAGGCUUUUAUGUUACAGACAGGAAGGAAUGGGCAUCAUCAUGGGCAUCAGACAUAUUUUGGAGGCCUUGCUAACCUGCUUACUUGAAGGUGGAAAUUAAUUAGAAGCUAGGUUACACAAGGAUGGUUUUAAGAGAAAGCAUGCAGCUUCUCAAGGCUGAGUUUUGUAAAAGACUGAAGGUUGGCUGGUGCAUGGUCCAAACCACCAACAAAGGGAAGAAACAGCUGUUGAAAUUGCAGUGAGCUCCUAUGACUAGACUGACCAGGCCUGCCCUUAGUAUGGAGACCCUCUGACUUCACCAAGGUGCAAGCGUAUGGGAGGAUGUGGAGAUGAGGCAUGCCAGAUCCAACAACUAGGUCCCGCUGACAUUCUUCUCUGUACCCUGAAGCCCUGUGCUGGUGAAAAUCCUCUUUAAGUUUAUUUUGCUACAGAUCUCUUGAAGCUGAUCUUGAAAGGCUGGGUUUUAUGAAUCACAAUGGAGCUUGUCUUUACUUGUUCGUGCACCACACACAUGAAGUUCCUCCGAAGAGAAACAUGGAUCACCAUUUUCAGUAACAGGAACAUAAUUGCAGCUUACUUUAAUUUCUGACACUUUUUAUAGGUGUGAGAGAUUUCAGCCAUAUUAACACCAGUUAAAAGGACAAAUGGCUGAGAGCUCAUCUGAGAAAAUUUUCAAUAUUUUAU
This 743-nucleotide long non-coding RNA is filed under the name Anas platyrhynchos platyrhynchos (common mallard). RNAcentral describes it as "lncRNA (ENSAPLG00000019145.1)". The record is from RNAcentral. Lineage: Eukaryota; Metazoa; Chordata; Aves; Anseriformes; Anatidae.